Long non-coding RNA from Panonychus citri (citrus red mite), 2389 nucleotides. RefSeq lists it as uncharacterized. The transcript has 3 exons. The record is from RefSeq and is a predicted model, not a curated record. Lineage: Eukaryota; Metazoa; Arthropoda; Arachnida; Trombidiformes; Tetranychidae.
UCUCGUAUUGUUUUCCCCCUUUUUCUCCAAAAAGAGAAACCAAACAACCAAUAAGAGAGAAGAGAAUAAAACAAAAUUCUCUUUUUCCUUUUACCGUUACCAAGAGUCCACCUAAUCUGGUGAUUUCAGGUUUCCUCCUAUUACCCACCCUUUGUCUCUCUCUCUCUCUCCUUUCAUGCGACCUUGAAAUGAUUGGAACAUAUGACAAGAGAGUGACAAGUUAAUGAUCUCUCUCAUUACCUGAUUACCUACUCGGUCUCUUUUUCUUUCUUUCUUUCUUUUUCUCUCUCUCUCUCUUUUUAGUCCUCCUUCUUUCUCUGUCUUUCUUGUCAUCAUCCAGUAAAAUGUCAUCACCGUUUUCCAUGUAAUAAUGUUGAGUGUCUGUAGUAGUGAUAAUUGGUUAUUCUUGCGGUUGUAGGUAAACAACAGGUAGAGUGUUAUUGGUAAUUGCAAGGUAUCUCAUUGUUUUCGCUGUUGUUUCUUUCAGUAUUGUCAACUUCUUUACGGCUUUUUAGGCUAAUUUUGUGAUCUUAUUUUUUUUGUCACGUUUAUUUGGUUUGAUUAAUGAUAAAUUGUAAUACACCAAUUUGGAUACAAUUUCUGCUUGGAAAGUUCAAGAUAAUUUUGUCUCAAUUUUUUUGUCUUUUUUUCUGCUUAUCUCUUUUAGAUAUUACGAUUAAUUCUGAGAAAAAUAUAUGUACAUAUUGAUAUUCUAAUUGCAAUUGAAAACUAAUCAUGGUCACUUUGAGAACUGUAUUUCAACCUUUUGUAACCCGUUAGCCUUAAUGUCAAUAACCAGAAGAAAAAAAAUGAAUUUCGACAAUAACCAAGAAGAAAGCAUGAUAACCUGAUUCCCGUUCAUCAACGAGUUUCUUUCAAUUGCUGAAACAUGUCAUCAAACGUACGAUUGGUAACUAAUCCAGGAAAUUAAUGAAUGAUCAUCUCAUUAUCUUUUCGACUGUUUUGACGUGUAUUCAUCAUCAUCAUCUUCAAACAACAAAAACAUCGAUAUUAUCACUAUGAUUGUCGUCAUUUUGUUUUUCUUUCUACUUAAAUGAAGAGACUCCGUCCCUCAUUUAACCAGGAAAAAGAAACAGGAAAGAAACAGCUAUAAACCAGAAUUUUAUAUAGAAUCAGAUUCAAUUUAUUGUUCUUUUUUUUGAAUUACUAUCAUUUUAUUGAUCUGAACAAAAAUGCAAGUGAAAAUUUAUCACGCUCAAGUUAAUUGGUUUCACUCUGCAUACAAUAUUUACCUUCAUUGUUGGUGACAAGUCUACCAGAUCAAUUAACCAAUCAAUUUAAUUCAUGGAAACCAACCACAUUACUUCAUCAUCGAAAAUCAUGACUUUGAACCAUUCCAACUACAAUUAAACCAAGAUACCUUUUGUUUGACCUUAGAGGUUAAUUUUCAAGUAUAUAAAUAUAUUGAUAAAUGACUUUGGGUCCUUAAAGUCUUUUGGACCGUUUAAUUAUUCAAAAAGUGAUGAUUAUGAUAAAACUCAAUCGAUGACGAUUCCAACAACAAUGAUGGUGAAUUUACAAAUUCUGGUGGAUCCUCUGGUAUUUGGCACGAAGUUUUCACCUCCCAAGAAAGAAAAGACUGAUGAAAAUCUAAGGAUCCAAUAGGAAUGGUGGAAAAACAGAAAUGUCCAGUUAAUCAAAUCCUAAUUGUCCAGCAAAAGGAAAGGUUUGACACCUCUUACUCCACCCACAUUUGUGAAUCUUCAAUAGUCAAUGGAAAAGCCUUAUGGACGAAAUUAACAUUCAAUGAUUGAUAAAGUAGAGAAAAUAGAGAAGAUGAACCAAAAUUCACUUGGGAAAAGAAAUGUAUCGAUUUUACAAUCAAAUUAAUGGUGGAUAAUCAGCAUUCUCGUCAUAUUAAUAUUUGAUUGAUUAAACGUGAAUUAUUGACAAAGAUUUUUAUGGUUAUGGUGAUGAUGAAGAUUAUCCAUGAAUAGAUCAGAUCUUUUGAUCAUUCUCUUUAAUCAACUCUUUCCUUUCACGAUUUAUCAUCAUCUUUGGUGGAAAAGGAAAGAUACCCGAUGACCAUGUGAAUGAAAAAGGAUGUAAAUGAAUCCCUUCAUCUUCAUCCGUUAAUCCAAUUAAAUUAACUGGUAAAAGUCAAACGGUUAAUCAACAACAACAAUAAUAAUAAUUUUUCAAUCGGAAAUGGAAAACAUUUCCUUUCCAUAAAUACAAAUACAUUUAACUUCCAAUGGAAACAGCAACAAACCAUAAAAGAUGAUACAUUUUCCAGAGUUAAAAUUUCCAACAUUGUACCAAGUGAAACUCGCAAAGAUAAUGAUGGGAAUUCCGGCAGAACUCAUGAGGAAUGAGAAAUUAUCGGAGAUAAUAUUGACCAUGGAACCUAAAAAUAUCGUCAUGUCAC